Pyrus x bretschneideri (Chinese white pear) is the source of this 2238-nucleotide long non-coding RNA. RefSeq lists it as uncharacterized. The transcript has 2 exons. The record is from RefSeq and is a predicted model, not a curated record. NCBI's taxonomy places the organism in Eukaryota, Viridiplantae, Streptophyta, Magnoliopsida, Rosales, Rosaceae.
UACUUGUGUUUUGUCUCCGUCUGUGUGUGAUCCUUCAAAUAUAUCUCUGAUCGGAGCAGUCUGCCCCCACCACUCUCAUAAUUCGCAUUUGCUUCGGAACUCCUCCCUCUCUCCCUCUCUCGUUCAGCAAAGCCAUUGCUCGAAACUGACACACAAAUAAAGACAGUGAUCGAGGGAGGAGGGAGGAGGGAGACAUUGAUACUUUCAUUGAGGAUAGAGAAAAAACUUCUCCACCUACUCCAUAACCCCACCAUGUUUGAUGUCCAAGUGCUGCAACUUUAACACUUCACCAUUUCACGCCAUUUCUCUUUCUGGGUUUCACGAAUGUCAGCUCCCGAGGCAACCCACCACCGCCGUUCGGCCACCGGAGGCAGCGGCACGUCGGUCUCGGAUGACUCCGACGACAACCAGUCCUGGCGCUCGAUGUCUGACUCCGGCAAUGUCCGGAGGAAGUCUUGUGAGUCAGAUUGUUCAGUGGAGGAGGUGGAUUUGGAGAGUGGGCUUUUGGAGGUGAAGAAGGUGGUGCAUUUGAGUAAAGUUGAGAGAAAUUGCAGGAUUUGCCACCUGGGUUUGGAGGGAGGUAGUGGGACCGACCCUGCCUCUGGGGUCCCGAUUGACCUGGGGUGUUCUUGCAAGGGGGAUUAGCGUGCUGCUCAUAAGCAAUGCGCUGAGACUUGGUCCAAGAUCAAGGGAGACACGUGAGUACAAAAUUUUUCUGAGUUUAAUAUUCAUUAUUUUCUUUGGUUUUUGGUGUUUCUGCUUGAAAUUAUGAACACCCAUUUGCUGGAUUGUGAAUGUUUGUUCUGCUUGAGUGUUUAAUGAUGGUCCGAAAACUUUAGGAUUAUAUUUUGUUCUGUUUCUGCAUUGAAGUGCAAGCACAUGGAUGUAAUUGGUUCCCGGAGUCAGCUCUCUCACUUUUGAUGUGGUUUACUUCAAACUAUGAACUUACUAUGGGCAUGUUACAACAGAUACCAUCUUGGUGGUGUUUAGGUUCCUGCUUCCGAGAGUUCAGCUUAUUCGAAUGAUUACUUGCUAAUUAGCUUCUUUCUUUUCAUGUAAUUGUCACGAUUGUUCUUAUCAUUUUGCUUCUUACUGGAAUGCCGAAUUAGGCAGAUCACGUAUGUUGUAGAAUGCGUAUGCUCAUAUGAAAUACGAGAAAAUCAAGUAAAAGAACAAUCUUGUAGUCACCACAAUUACAAUCCAUCUGAACUCAAAGAUAUCCAUCGUUCUAGGUUCAUAGUUUUUAUAGUCACACUUUCUGUGGCAUUUACAUUAGUGGAAAGUGCGAGGUCCAAUGCAAGCUAAAGGAAGUGUGUUUGUAUGCAAGAAUUGAGCUCCUAUGUCGAAAAGUAGAUAUCUUGUGUGCCAUGUAUCUUUUCUGUAUGCUUCUAAUAAAGAUGUAAAUGUUUAAAUUAUGCAUAUGGAUUAGUAAAUGAUGAUGAGCAUUUGCAUUCUUUGGUUCCGUCACAAGUUUAUUUCGUUUAUACAUUUGGGAGAUUUUCUAUACUCCAAGGAUGAUAAUUUGGUAAAGUUCUUAGGACCUUGCACGCUAUACCCUCUUCAAAGGAAAUAUCCAAACUUAGGCUACAGGAAAUAUAAUCUAGAUAAGCUGCAUCACAUGAUAAUACAAUGACAUACAUACAUCAUAGAUGGAUUGGUGAAGACUCGCUGGGUUGGUAACCAGGAUGAGGAGAAGAUAUGCAAGAACAGCAAGCUAGUUCAAAUUUCAACUCAUCAUGGUUAGGUGGUUUUUCAGCAAGAAAGUGCGGUUGGUAAUUUGUGAGACAAAGCUCGCAGGGUCGGAGAAGGAGAGAAGGCAGCUUUGGAAAGCGAAAGGAAUCGAGGUUCAAGAGCGACAGAAGCAGGGAAUUGUGAGGGAAAAAAGUGGAACGGAGGGAAAAGUCGAGAAGAAAGGUCGUGCAGAGCGAUGAGCGACGCGUGGACAAACGCAUAAUGGAGAAGAAUCGGAGGGCAUUUAUGCCAUUGAAGACGACAGAAGCUGAGAAGUGAUCGACUGGUGGAGACGAAGGGCAAAGUCGUCUUUUAACUGUUAAAAAAAAGGAAAAAAAGGAAAAAAAGGCAGAUAACAAAGGAAUUGGAGGGCAUUUUCCCCCGUUUACAGUUAAUGAACAGUAAUUUUGUAUUGAGUUUUAGUAUAUGUAUAAUUUCAUGAGAUGUUAAAUGUUAUUGAUAUUUAGUUGAUAUUGUUAAUUUAAUGUAAAUAUUAUUAUUUAUCAA